RNAcentral lists this unclassified non-coding RNA (2886 nucleotides) under Schistocerca americana (American grasshopper). Its description in RNAcentral is "rho GTPase-activating protein 17-like, transcript variant X2". The record is from RNAcentral. Lineage: Eukaryota; Metazoa; Arthropoda; Insecta; Orthoptera; Acrididae.
AAUCAGCCGCAUAUCGAUAAUAUGCAGUGUACAGAAGGAAGUGUAAUUUGUGUUUAGUUCUAUGCUUGUGUGCUCGGUACAGGCUUUAAUUUCAUGAACUUGUAACUAAUUUAAGGUAUGGCAGUGGUAUUGAAAGCUUCAUGACAAUAAGUACGAGAGGGAAUGAGCCGGCAUAGAACUCUGAUGCCAUCUUUUCUACGCCUUCCUUCUCCAACCCAUUAGCUUAUUUGAAGAUGAAGAAACAGUUCUUCCGUGUGAAGCAGUUGGCUGAUCAGACCUUUUCUAGAGCUGGAAAAACAGAAGUGCUGUCAGACGAUUUAAUAGAAGCAGACCGAAGAGUAGACUACAUACGAACAGCAUGUCAGAAUACAGGGAAGAAACUAACCAACUGUUUCCCCUAUCAAGGACAAGAGAUCGACAAAAGGGUCAAAAAGAUUCCAGAAUACAUCCUAGGAGCUGCGAUGCAAGAAAGUGGGACAGGUGAUAGUUGCCUUUUAGGAAAUAUUCUUCAACGGUGUGGCGAAGUCGAACAGGACCUGGCAAACUUGCUUGUCAGCUAUGAAGUGGGCGUUGAAAAGGCUGUGAUAGAACCUCUACAGAAUGUGAUAGAUGUGGAUAUUCCUAAUAUCAGUAAACAUAAACGGAAUUUGGCAAAACUCACAUUGGACAUGGAUGCUGCAAAAACUAGGUAUCAAAACUCAGUGAAGCAUGCGAACACAAAUGCACGCUUAGAUUCCAUAAAGGAUGAAAUGGAAGAGGCUGAACUGAAAGUGGAACAGUGCCGCGAUGCUCUUGCAGCGGAGAUGUUCCAGUUCAUUUCAAGGGAGGCUGAAAUUGCUCAGAUGGUUGUUGAAUAUGCAAGGCACAAACGUGAUUUUCAUGAAAAGGCUCUCAAAUGUUUAGAGGACGUUAUACCAGCAUUAGAGGCUACUAUUCAGGAAAGUGACAUCAAGCCCGUGUACUCGCAGCCUCUAGAGGAGCACCUGCGCAUCACGCACCGUAAGAUAGCACUGCCUAUUGAGUUGUGUGUUUGUGCGCUGCUGGAGCUGGGUAUGGCAGAAGAGGGUCUCUUCAGGGUUGCUGCAGGUAUGUCAAAAGUUCGGCGCAUGAAGUUGAGCCUAGAUGCUGGUUUGAUGAAGCUGGAGACAGCGAUAGAAUAUGGUGACCCUCAUGUUGUCGCUGGUGCACUGAAGUGCUACCUGAGGGAACUCCCGGAGCCACUCAUGACAUACAAAUUGUAUGAUGAGUGGAUUGCAGCCUCGAAAGUUCAGAACCAGGAGAUACGCUUACAAGAGUUGUGGAAAGUAGUCCAGAAGCUUCCGACAGCGAAUUUUGACAAUUUACACUACCUCAUUAAGUUCCUUUCUCAUCUGUCACGCAAUCACGCUCUAAACAAGAUGACGCCACAAAAUAUUGCAAUUGUUAUUGCUCCAAAUCUUAUGUGGGACAGUGAGACUGACGCAAAUACUGUCGGAAUGAAUAUGAACUCGGCCAAUAUCCACAGCAGUGUAGUGGAUAGCUUGGUCACGUACGCUGAUUAUUUCUUCCCCGGAGAACUUGACUUCUACCAGACAUUUUCGAGGGAACCCACAGGUGGCGUAAAUGGUGGAAUGUCCCUGAGUGUAGGUAGUGGUGCUGUGUUCCAGAACAGCAUUCAGUCUUCCGCGUCUACAACUGCUACAGGGAUAGCUUAUGGGCAUGUACGGAGCAGCAGUGGUGAAAGCCAAAACAUCACCUUGGGUGAUACGACAGGUGGCCUGAAGCGGGCACAGUCUAGCAGCAGCCUGUCUGACCACAGCAGCCCACCUCAAGGGAGUCCGAAGCCAAUAACACGACGGAAGAAUAAACCUGCACCAAUACCACCAGCUGCUGUGAGUCGGGAGCACCCAGAAAAGCCACCACGACCAACUGUUGCACCACCACCAGUGGUUUCAACGCUGCCACGACCAGCUAAGAAACCGUUGUUACCAGAACCGCCUCCGCCACCACCGGCGACAACCGCCUCCAGGCGGAGCCUCGACCUAGAACAUGCAGCGCCAUUGGCGCAGCCCGAGGAGGUGACACCUCCGCCCGUGACGGAAGUGUCGCAGCCUCUGUCUGCUACUGGUGGAGGCCACACUACGACUGUCACUGUCACUGCAGGUAGCAUUGGUAAGGUUUCCAUCCUUUCGGAUCACCAGCUCCACCUGCAGCCACAUCUGCAGCACCAACAGCAGCAACAACAGAAGGUGACAGUGAAUUGCAGUGAUAGUAACAUGAGCACCCUCGACAGGAAGCACUUGCAGAGACCUGUCGCUGCCCCACGUACCUCUGUAGUCAGUGUAAAUACUUCUGUAGACUGUGUCCCUGGCACUGCAGAAUCACACACUUUGUUCUCAUCAUCACCACCCAAAUCCAACUCCGAAACGGUGGGUGUAAAUAGUUCCACUUCGGCGGAUGGAAGUGUGACACUGAGAAAAGUGCCUGUAAGUGACAUUUGUGAAAAAUCGUCCAAACCGGUUGUGCCUGAACGACCUGCUUCCCUGUUGCGGCCACAUGCAGCUUCUUUCCGUGCUACUAAGCAUUCUGAUGGUGAUAUUUCUUCUGUCGAAAAAGCAAAUUCAGAAAUAGAGAUCAGUGCCCAGAAAGGCCUCAAAGACCCUCAAAAACUGAGGAAGUUUAUAGCAACGUGGAGAAAGAAAACGGAGAAUCUGGUUAUCCCAGUACACUCUCGAAAGGAAAUGACGUCAGUCUCCACAGUGACCCAUCUGUGAGCUGUACUGAAUCGACAGUGAGUUCUCUCAAACCACCAACAAAGCCACCAAGACCUGGACCUCCACCUCCACAGCCACCACCUCGCAGAGACAGCAUAGAGAGCACAGAUCUUUGACAUUGAUUUCAAGAGCU